UCAAAACUGCUCCAAAAUGCACCAAAAUGCACUUUCUUGCUACCUUAGCCCUUUGGACCUACAAACACACAAAAAUGGCUUAAAGUACUAAAAUAACUAAGAACUAAUAACGUAAAUGCAAGAAAACUAGUUAACUAAGUCGCAUAAAUAUGCGUCUAUCACAACGCUGACCGGAAGUCAACAGGUCAGUCAAUGGGUCACAGUCAACAGGUCAGUGGGUCGGUUCGAAUCUGAGUUAUUAGGUCGGGCUGGUUAUUGGGUUCAGACUUGGGUUGCAUCCGUUUAGGGUUGAGGAUUUUGGACUUGGGUUAAGGUUAUUUGGCUAAAGAGUUAUAGUUAAUGGGU
This 345-nucleotide long non-coding RNA is filed under the name Malus domestica (apple). Its description in RNAcentral is "long non-coding RNA (MDOM_LNC020021)". The record is from RNAcentral. Lineage: Eukaryota; Viridiplantae; Streptophyta; Magnoliopsida; Rosales; Rosaceae.